Molecule: long non-coding RNA, 213 nt
Filed under: Elaeis guineensis (African oil palm)
Lineage: Eukaryota; Viridiplantae; Streptophyta; Magnoliopsida; Arecales; Arecaceae
Description: long non-coding RNA (EGUI_LNC000374)
Source: RNAcentral
AGAGAGAAAAGUUGGUGAACAGUAUUUUGAAUGUUAAGAAUAGCAGAGCUCUGAUCAGAAGUGACCUACCGGUACUGUUCACUUACCCCCUUUUAAUAGAUGAGAUUCUUGUAACCGUCGGACGUGGUUCCGUAUUUUAUAGCGCUAAAUUAUCAGACCAUAAUUAUGUAGUAGGUCAUUAAUUUUCACUAAUUGUGCUGUGAUAUGCGAUGG